UUGGAGGGCAAGUCUGGUGCCAGCAGCCGCGGUAAUUCCAGCUCCAAUAGCGUAUAUUAAAGUUGUUGCAGUUAAAAAGCUCGUAGUUGAAUUUCGGGAUCAGAGUGUCGGUCGUGCCUCGGUACGCACUGGUAUUAUUGGUUCCUACCUUCUGAAGAACCGCGAUGUCAUUAAUUUGGUGUCGUGGGGAAUCAGGACUGUUACUUUGAAAAAAUUAGAGUGUUUAAAGCAGGCUUACGCUUGAAUACAUUAGCAUGGAGUAAUGAAAUAGGACGUUUGAUUCUAUUUUGUUGGUUUCUAGGAUUGACGUAAUGAUUAAUAGGGAUAGUUGGGGGCAUUAGUAUUCAAUUGUCAGAGGUGAAAUUCUUGGAUUUAUUGAAGACUAACUACUGCGAAAGCAUUUGCCAAGGACGUUUUCAUUAAUCAAGAACGAAAGUUAGGGGAUCGAAGACGAUCAGAUACCGUCGUAGUCUUAACCAUAAACUAUGCCGACUAGGGAUCGGAUGAUGUUAAUUUUUUGAUGACUCAUUCGGCGCCUUACGGGAAACCAAAGUGUUUGGGUUC
RNAcentral lists this ribosomal RNA (564 nucleotides) under uncultured Glomeromycotina. Its description in RNAcentral is "SSU rRNA". It matches the Rfam family "Eukaryotic small subunit ribosomal RNA", at positions 548 to 1114 of the family's 1831-position model. Lineage: Eukaryota; Fungi; Glomeromycota. The record is from RNAcentral.